CAUUAUUGCUAAAUGGGCUUAGAAUUAUUGGCAAAGGCAAUUAGGAUCAUGUCAAUUUCCUAUAUAUUGAGGCUAAUCCAACAGUUUUUUUCCAUACCCUUGAGUCUCUCUCUCUCUCUNNNNNNNNNNNNNNNNNNNNGUACGUACUACUACUUACUUUACUUACUUACCUUACGUCUCUCUCUCUCUCUCUCUCUCUCUCUCUCUCUCUCUCUCUCUCUCUCUCUCUGUGUGUGUGUGUGUGUGUGUGGUCAAAAAGCAUCAAGGAUGCAUCAGGCUGAAUGAAGGAUACAAUAAUUAUGUUUGGGAUAUAAGGGAUCUUAUAUUCGAUAUAAAAAUUCAUUGGUGCAAAUAUCUUGAAUGUGUCCUUGAUGUUAUAUUUUUAUGGUCAAAAUAUUAUGUUCAGGAUAUAAGGGAUGUUAUAUUUUUAUGGUUAAAAUGAAAAUUCAUUGUGUGGGUCCUUUAUUCCAUUAUUCACAAGCUCAUAAAGUGGAG
Molecule: long non-coding RNA, 495 nt
Filed under: Phoenix dactylifera (date palm)
Lineage: Eukaryota; Viridiplantae; Streptophyta; Magnoliopsida; Arecales; Arecaceae
Description: long non-coding RNA (PDAC_LNC006268)
Source: RNAcentral